CCUACGGGUGGCAGCAGUGGGGAAUAUUGGGCAAUGGAGGAAACUCUGACCCAGCAACGCCGCGUGAAGGAUGAAGGUUUUCGGAUUGUAAACUUCUGUCGCGAGGGAUGAAGAAUGACGGUACCUCGUAAGAAAGCCCCGGCAAACUACGUGCAAGCAGCCGCGGUAAUACGUAGGGGGCGAGCGUUUUCCGGAAUGACUGGGCGGAAAGGGAGUGUAGGGGGCAUAUUAAGUAUAGUGGGAAAGCCCGCGGAUCAAACGCGGAAUUGCAUAUAAACUUGGUAAGCUGGAGUGCAGGAGAGGUAAGUGGAAUUCCCGGUGUAGCGGUGGAAUGCGUAGAUAGCGGGAGGAACACCAGAGGCGAAGGCGACUUACUGGACUGUAACUGACGCUGAGGCUCGAAAGCGUGGGGAGCAAACAGGAUUAGAUACCCCAGUAGUC
This 441-nucleotide ribosomal RNA is filed under the name uncultured bacterium. Its description in RNAcentral is "partial 16S ribosomal RNA". It matches the Rfam family "Bacterial small subunit ribosomal RNA", at positions 338 to 795 of the family's 1533-position model. The record is from RNAcentral.